Molecule: long non-coding RNA, 766 nt
Filed under: Helianthus annuus (common sunflower)
Lineage: Eukaryota; Viridiplantae; Streptophyta; Magnoliopsida; Asterales; Asteraceae
Description: sRNA HanXRQr2_Chr04g0162081
Source: RNAcentral
GGGGGGGGGGGUAUUCCCUACUUGACGAUUAUCCACAUAACUCGCUGUAGAAAUCAAAUUUAUAAAUUCCGUAGACUCAUACAAGCUAGUUGGACACGUGGCAAGCCUAUGAUGAAACGUGGCCCGUCGCGUCACGCGACGCCCCUAUGGGACCCCUCGCGUCACGCGAGGGGGUCAAAUUUCAGCUAUAAAUAGAAGGGGUUACGAGCAGCUCAAAAACACAGUAGCGAGGCGCUGCUACGAUACAGGGUAUUAACUCGAUCGCUGCUACAAUUCAAUGUCCGAUCUAUUGAAACUAUCCGACCGGAUGUUUAAGUGCUAUCCUUUGUCAUUAGUCGUGAUUCCAACAGGAUGUUUGAGUACCACCCGAACUCGGGGAAUACUCUGUCAUUCGUUGCGAAUCCGAUGGAUGUUUAAGUGAUUACACUUUGUCAUUUGUCGUGAGGGUUUUAAUCUCGUGAGUUAUCGUAAAUGUUGUAUUAGUUAAUUACCUAGUUUCGUGUGCAUUAUCGCUUAAAUUAGGUUAUCAGGCUUAUCAGUAGACUAAACACUACCCCAUACACUUACAAUCAAAGUAGAUGCUAAUUCUCAGAAGAAUCUGAAUCAUGAAGCUUGUUAAUUCAAUACUGCAUGCUUAUAAUGUAAUUACAGUAGAUUGGAGUAAGAGUUGGAUACGGCACCGAAAAGGCUUACAGAAGUGGCUUGAUUUAUCAAUUAAAUAAAAAUUAAGAAAAGUUGUUUUAUGUAUCAAGUUUAUAUUAAAAAG